RNAcentral lists this ribosomal RNA (301 nucleotides) under uncultured bacterium. Its description in RNAcentral is "partial 16S ribosomal RNA". It matches the Rfam family "Bacterial small subunit ribosomal RNA", at positions 509 to 807 of the family's 1533-position model. The record is from RNAcentral.
CAGCAGCCGCGGUAAUACGUAGGUGGCAAGCGUUGUCCGGAAUUAUUGGGCGUAAAGGGCUCGCAGGCGGUUUCUUAAGUCUGAUGUGAAAGCCCCCGGCUCAACCGGGGAGGGUCAUUGGAAACUGGGAAACUUGAGUGCAGAAGAGGAGAGUGGAAUUUCACGUGUAGCGGUGAAAUGCGUAGAGAUGUGGAGGAACACCAGAGGCGAAGGCGACUCUCUGGUCUGUAACUGACGCUGAGGAGCGAAAGCGUGGGGAGCGAACAGGAUUAGAUACCCGUGUAGUCCCUGUCUCUUAUAC